UACGGAGGGUGCGAGCGUUGUCCGGAAUCACUGGGCGUAAAGGGCGCGUAGGCGGCCUGAUAAGUCGGGGGUGAAAUCUUGCGGCUUAACCGCAAGGCUGCCUUCUAAACUGUCAGGCUAGAGCACAGUAGAGGCAGGUGGAAUUCCCGGUGUAGCGGUGGAAUGCGUAGAGAUCGGGAAGAACAUCAGUGGCGAAGGCGGCCUGCUGGGCUGUUGCUGACGCUGAGGCGCGACAGCGUGGGGAGCAAACAGG
RNAcentral lists this ribosomal RNA (253 nucleotides) under uncultured bacterium. RNAcentral describes it as "partial 16S ribosomal RNA". It matches the Rfam family "Bacterial small subunit ribosomal RNA", at positions 524 to 776 of the family's 1533-position model. The record is from RNAcentral.